RNAcentral lists this transfer RNA (73 nucleotides) under Polypterus sp. golden dust. RNAcentral describes it as "tRNA-Ala". It matches the Rfam family "tRNA". Rfam says of the family: Transfer RNA (tRNA) molecules are approximately 80 nucleotides in length. Their secondary structure includes four short double-helical elements and three loops (D, anti-codon, and T loops). Further hydrogen bonds mediate the characteristic L-shaped molecular structure. tRNAs have two regions of fundamental functional importance: the anti-codon, which is responsible for specific mRNA codon recognition, and the 3' end, to which the tRNAs corresponding amino acid is attached (by aminoacyl-tRNA synthetases). tRNAs cope with the degeneracy of the genetic code in two manners: having more than one tRNA (with a specific anti-codon) for a particular amino acid; and 'wobble' base-pairing, i.e. permitting non-standard base-pairing at the 3rd anti-codon position. Lineage: Eukaryota; Metazoa; Chordata; Cladistia; Polypteriformes; Polypteridae. The record is from RNAcentral. RNAcentral also lists the same sequence under 1 other name.
AGGGUUUUAGCUUAAUUAAAGUGUUUGAGUUGCAUUCAUAAGAUGUGGGAUAAAGUCCUGCAAAUCCUAAUUA